Molecule: long non-coding RNA, 438 nt
Organism: Phacochoerus africanus (Common warthog)
Lineage: Eukaryota; Metazoa; Chordata; Mammalia; Artiodactyla; Suidae
Exons: 3
Source: RefSeq, a predicted model, not a curated record
CUGUGGGAGUUGUAGUCCAUCUCCUCCUAAGAGACUGGGCAAAUGGCACACCAGCGGGCGGGGCUUUUCUUCACGGCUGGAAUCAUGGGAAGAGAUUAGUGGCGAGAAGCGCCCACCCGGGAAGAGGAAGAAGCGCGAGAUACUAUGGGAUCCUAAAUUAAUUGGUCCUUCUUAAAGGCCAUGGGUAAAAGACUGAGAGCAUUUGUUUUUGAACUGUUUGAAAACACUGAACUGAGAUCUUCUUAUCAUCAGAGAGUCACACCACGGAAUGUGAUUUCAUGCUCCCUGAAGUCAACUUGUCUAGACCAUCUUUUUUCCAGAUGUGGGAAGGAUUGUCACAUAGCAUACUGUGAGGCAGAAGUAUCCAACUAGCACAUUCUGUCCCGGUGGGUACCAAUCCGUAUAACAAAGACCUUGACCUACCUACCUCCAGUCAGU